CAACUUUCAACAACGGAUCUCUUGGCUCUCGCAUCGAUGAAGAACGCAGCGAAAUGCGAUAAGUAAUGUGAAUUGCAGAAUUCAGUGAAUCAUCGAAUCUUUGAACGCACAUUGCGCCCCUUGGUAUUCCAUGGGGCAUGCCUGUUCGAGCGUCAUU
Molecule: ribosomal RNA, 157 nt
Filed under: uncultured fungus
Lineage: Eukaryota; Fungi
Description: 5.8S ribosomal RNA
Rfam family: 5.8S ribosomal RNA
About the family: 5.8S ribosomal RNA (5.8S rRNA) is a component of the large subunit of the eukaryotic ribosome. It is transcribed by RNA polymerase I as part of the 45S precursor that also contains 18S and 28S rRNA.
Source: RNAcentral